UAGUUAGCAUCUAGUGCAACAAUGAUUUCAGGAGUAGAUUCCUUAGUGCCUCUCACUCAUGUAGCCCGUCCUCCCUCCCACACCCCCUCCAGUAACCAAGAGGUAAUGUUUAAAGCGAGUCUUGAACUCACAGUGAGUACCCGAUCGCCAGGCAAACAGAAGGUGGGGUGGAGGUAGGCUGGGGUGUUGAAAGCAUUUCUGACGGAAGAAGCAGCCUGGCCAAGGUGGGAGCUUUGGGGGGCGGGGACAUCAGUCAUGUUUGGGGAACCUCAGUCAGGAAACACAGAAUAAGUGGCCAUUAUAUUCCUGUCCCUGUUUUGUCUUCUGAGGAUAUGGUGAAUGAGUCCAGCAAGGCCCUGCCCUCAUUCGGCUUUGGAGAAGGGAAGGCAGACAAUAAAGGAAUAGACAAAAAAAAAAAAAAAAAAAAGUGAGCCCUAAGAAGGAAAUCAGCAGGGAGGUACUGUGGAGAGUAACCGGGGCAGAGGGGGUGGGAGAAGGGCUCAGACAUUUGCUGGGAUGGACAGACCUAGACUGAGGUCUGGCACAGCUGGACAGGGCUAUGAGGGCGGGGCACCUAGGGGAGGUGCCAAGCCCAGCAGUGUCCCUCUCUCUACAACAGAGCUCCCCAAAGCUGCAGGGGAGGACGCCUCUGGACGCAGAAUCUACAGGCAGAAGGGAGCUGCCCUCCUACCUGUUCCCAUCCUGUCUGCAAGCCUCCCCUGGAGAAACUCCCUUUACAAUGUUCAAGCCCCCCCCCCCCCCAACCCUUACUUUGCCUUCCAGAGGAGGAUCCCAGGCACUCAGACCUCCAGGGGAAAGAGCAGGCAGUGAGGGGGAUGGCUGGCACACCCCUGGAAGACGAGGCAGGCCGUCCACCUGACCAUGUGUCUCUGUAUGUGAGUGUGUCCUUCAGGGGAAGGAGGCAGGACAGCAAGAUGGCUCCCUGGGGACCAGUCCUAAACCUGUUUUGGAUUAUUUCCCUUGUCCUUCACUCUCCGGACACAAGGGGGCAGUGGAGCCUUGAGCUUGGCGGACUGCAAGGUCCAUGGGGCAGAGGACAGUCUUCCCUCAACCUUGUUUGCCUGAGGCCUGCUCUCCUGUUCAACCUGACCUCUGAAUGUGGGAAUCAGGAAGAGGAGGGCCACGGCCCGGCCGGAGGACCCUGAUUUUCACUGACCUUCACUCAACCAUAUGUAGGAUGAAUGCCCCCCUCCCCUUCCACAACAGAAACUAAAGCCCAGGUCCUUGUGCUGAAGGAUCAGCCCAUUAGUAGCUUGGACAAAGAGCAAGGGAGAGGCGCCCUAGCUGGCUGCUGGAGUGGAAUUCUUCUGAGCCCUCUCUAUUGUAGUGAAAAUCUCCCCAAAUUUCAUGAGGCAGGGGCAGGAGGGUCAAGUGCAGUGGAUAGGGCCCAGCAAGUCCAUCAGAUCCACUCGACAGCUAUUAAUGCCAAUGCAUGUGUCAGGUCUCAUGCUGGUGCUAAGGAAACAAAGGAGAACUGGCUUCAGCUCUUCCAAAAAGUUCACAGUCAGGUGGGCAAAUGGCCACUGCCACACGGAGUGGUUUGUUCCGCACAAGAGCAGGACAGGUACUGGGGAACACAGAGGAGGUGCGUUAACCUAGAUGUGGGGUGGGGCGAGGGAGGUCACAGGAGGCCUCCUGGAAGCAAUACCCAGGUUGAGUCUUAAGGAUAGGAGGGUUUAGCCAAGCAAAGGGCUUUUUUAGGCAAGGGGAAAACAUGAGCAAGAGAUCAAAGUCAAGAAACAACACGGGAGGGAGAUUAAAAGACAUUCCAGUGUGUCUGAAAAAUUUCCAACGCAACACCCUUUAAGGUUGCAACCAUUUUAAUGGCACACGCUCUGUGGUCUGGCUGUCGCCCAACUCUCCAGCCAGUAGAAAGGGCUUUCUGAACAGUUUUGUACAUUCAGACAGAAGCUUCAGAGAAUUGAGUUUUUCCAGGCUAGGACCUAUAGGAUUGUGAGAAACUGUAUGCUGGGGGAAAGACUUGAUAGCAGGGCAAUUAGUUUUGGGGUGGGCUUUUUCUUUUGGGACUUUCUACUACAUGUUGCCUUAACAAGUGACGAGGUGCAUUUAAGAGGAAUUCAGAGGUUAAGCCUGUAAGCAAAUAACAAACGCAGUUUCACAAACAAAAACCAUAAGGCUACGUACUGCUUAACUAGGUUACGUAAAAAUUAGAUUGCUGAUUGAUGAUAGACCCGUAGCCAAAGUGAUCAGGCAGACAGACUGGAAGAAAUCUUUGCAGUGGAUAAAACCAACACCUUCUAGAAUAUACAAAAAACAGCCAAGUCAAAAUAUACAAAUUUGGACUAGGAGGAAGUCCAAAGAAAAAAAAAGGAGUGAGGGUGUGAUUAGGAAAUUUGUAGAAGAGGAAUCUCCAAAGUUAGCAAACAUUUUGUGGCAGAUUGUGUAACUCUUCACUGAUUUCUGUGUCUUCUCUUCUCUGGCACACGGCAAGACUCCAUUUCUUGGGUCCUUUGCCUCAGGCUGUGGCAUGGGGUUCUGGCCCUAGGAAUGUGAACGCAUCUCAUGCCUACUCCAAGGGCUGGAUGCAGAGAAUCCAGUGGAGACCUCUGGCCCCUAGGAAAUGAGACAGCCGCACUGUAGAAGUCUGACCGCCUGGAGCUGUAUCCCUCCCCGGACUCCCUCCACACUGGACUGUGGAGUGAACAGAGAUGUAUCAGCAUUUACUUUGUGAAGCCACUGAGAUGUGUGGGUUGUUACAUCAAUGAACUUACCUCACCGAUGUGCACACUUAGAUGAGCUCCAAUUGGUUAGAGAAAGGUGAAAUUUAAAAAAUUAUAAGGGCACCUGCCUGGCUCAGUGGUAGAGCAUGUGACUCGAUCUCAGGGUGGUGCAUUCAAGCCCCACAUUAGGCAUGGAGCCUACUUAAAAAAAAUUGUGUAACUUCACGUAUUUUCAUUGGAUUUGCAAAAACUGGUAAGGUAGAUCAUUUCAAGAAUUUUGGUAGGGGUUAGAGGUGUGUUUGGGUGUGUUGGUGAUUACAGGAACUCCCAUGUACUGCUGCUGGGGAUGUAGACUGGUAUAGGCUUGUCGGGGGGUGGGGAGGACCCUGGUGGUUCUCACUUAAAUUAAAUAUUUAAUUGGCUUGUGA
This is a long non-coding RNA of Herpailurus yagouaroundi (jaguarundi), 3130 nucleotides long. RefSeq lists it as uncharacterized. NCBI's taxonomy places the organism in Eukaryota, Metazoa, Chordata, Mammalia, Carnivora, Felidae. The record is from RefSeq and is a predicted model, not a curated record. The transcript is spliced from 2 exons.